RNAcentral lists this unclassified non-coding RNA (298 nucleotides) under Hevea brasiliensis (rubber tree). Lineage: Eukaryota; Viridiplantae; Streptophyta; Magnoliopsida; Malpighiales; Euphorbiaceae. The record is from RNAcentral.
CUUGUACAAAUUUUGAAAUGAAAUAAAUGGAAUGUCUCUUUUGUUCGAUGAAUGGUUGUGAUCGGAACAUUUCUAAAUUAUUAAACACUUGAUUGUUUGAGUAUCUUGAAAGAACUGAAAGUGAUUAUUAACCCAAGUGUGAGAGAUCGGAAGACGUAAUGAGCAUAAGAUCAGUAGAGAACCAACGCUAAACGGAACUUGAUUAAAAUUAGAAAUUUGGCUUGAACAUUUAAGAUCGGAAUCAUCCUUAAACCGGAACGGAACCUUUGAUUAUUCUUAAACUUUUGAAAGGGAGAUC